Molecule: transfer RNA, 76 nt
Filed under: Pyrinomonadaceae bacterium
Lineage: Bacteria; Pseudomonadati; Acidobacteriota; Blastocatellia; Blastocatellales; Pyrinomonadaceae
Description: tRNA-Arg
Rfam family: tRNA
About the family: Transfer RNA (tRNA) molecules are approximately 80 nucleotides in length. Their secondary structure includes four short double-helical elements and three loops (D, anti-codon, and T loops).
Source: RNAcentral
GCCCCCGUAGCUUAAUGUAUAAAGCGGCACGCUUCGAACGUGCGGGUUGUGGGUUAGAUUCCUACCGGGGGUUCCA